This 324-nucleotide ribosomal RNA is filed under the name Triticum aestivum (bread wheat). RNAcentral's name for it is "partial small subunit ribosomal RNA". Lineage: Eukaryota; Viridiplantae; Streptophyta; Magnoliopsida; Poales; Poaceae. The record is from RNAcentral.
AUGUUGAUGUUCCUCACGGCGUUCCCCAGGGGCUUCGCCAUUGAGGUGCUAGACGUGUACAAUGGCCCGCCGAGGGUUGCCUUCAAGUUCCGACACUGGGGUUACAUGGAGGGGCCGUUCAAGGGGCACCCUCCACACGGCCAGAGGGUCGAGUUCUUUGGGGUCUGCGUCUUCCAUAUAAGUUCCACAGUUGACGAGGACACGUGGGUGGAGAAGGCGGAGUACUUCUACGAGUGUGGCAACUUCCUCGUGAGCUUCUUCAGCACGCCUGCUUCUGCUGCUGUUGCAUCGGCUUUAGGUUGCCCUCUGAUGAGAGUAAACUAG